AGUGAACGCUGGCGGUAGGCCUAACACAUGCAAGUCGAACGGCAGCACAGGAGAGCUUGCUCUCUGGGUGGCGAGUGGCGGACGGGUGAGGAAUACAUCGGAAUCUACUCUGUCGUGGGGGAUAACGUAGGGAAACUUACGCUAAUACCGCAUACGACCUACGGGUGAAAGCAGGGGAUCUUCGGACCUUGCGCGAUUGAAUGAGCCGAUGUCGGAUUAGCUAGUUGGCGGGGUAAAGGCCCACCAAGGCGACGAUCCGUAGCUGGUCUGAGGGGAUGAGCAGCCACACUGGAACUGAGACACGGUCCAGACUCCUACGGGAGGAAGCAGUGGGGAAUAUUGGACAAUGGGCGCAAGCCUGAUCCAGCCAUACCGCGUGGGUGAAGAAGGCCUUCGGGUUGUAAAGCCCUUUUGUUGGGAAAGAAAUCCAGCUGGCUAAUACCCGGUUGGGAUGACGGUACCCAAAGAAUAAGCACCGGCUAACUUCGUGCCAGCCGCCGCAGUAA
This 506-nucleotide ribosomal RNA is filed under the name uncultured bacterium. RNAcentral describes it as "partial 16S ribosomal RNA". It matches the Rfam family "Bacterial small subunit ribosomal RNA", at positions 29 to 523 of the family's 1533-position model. The record is from RNAcentral.